AUGCCGCGUGAGUGAAGAAGGCUUUGGGUUGUAAAGCUCUUUUGUAGGGGAAGAUAAUGACUGUACCCUAAGAAUAAGGUCCGGCUAACUUCGCGCCAGCAGCCGCGGUAAUACGAAGGGACCUAGCGUAGUUCGGAAUUACUGGGCGUAAAGCGCGCGUAGGCCGUUGAGUUAGUUAAUUGUGAAAUCCCAAAGCUUAACUUUGGAACUGCAAUUAAAACUGCUCGACUAGAGUUUGAUAGAGGAAAGCGGAAUACAUAGUGUAGAGGUGAAAUUCGUAGAUAUUAUGUAGAACACCAGUUGCGAAGGCGGCUUUCUGGGUCAACACUGACGCUGAGGCGCGAAAGUAUGGGUAGCAAAGAGGAUUAGAUACCCUCGUAGUCCAUACCAUAAACGAUGAUUGCUAGAUGUUGGAAAUUUAUUUUCAGUAUCGCAGCUAACGCAUUAAGCAAUCCGCCUGGGGAGUACGACCGCAAGGUUAAAACUCAAAUGAAUUGACGGGGAACCGCACAAGCGGUGGAGCAUGUGGUUUAAUCCGAAGAUACGCGCAG
RNAcentral lists this ribosomal RNA (551 nucleotides) under uncultured bacterium. Its description in RNAcentral is "bacterial SSU rRNA". It matches the Rfam family "Bacterial small subunit ribosomal RNA", at positions 394 to 966 of the family's 1533-position model. The record is from RNAcentral.